UAUAAAGUAGGUUAAGUUAAACCAACGGGCUCAUGCCCCGUGCAUGCUUGUAAUAAUCGACCAAGUUUAGUGCUUUUUUAA
Molecule: transfer RNA, 81 nt
Filed under: Cardita variegata
Lineage: Eukaryota; Metazoa; Mollusca; Bivalvia; Carditida; Carditidae
Description: tRNA-Met
Source: RNAcentral